UGCUGAGCAAACUUAGCUUGUAGAAACGUAGGGAAGAGUUUCAGCAGUACUGGAUGGAGCAUUGGUUAAGUGACUGUUGCACUUGCAAAUCCCCCCAAGUGACCCCAUCGUGGAGCAUGGGGAAGAUGAUGUUUUGAAGAGGACCGUCCUGGCAAAGGGGUGUGAGAGGGAUCCGAAGGCCAGAGGACCAGUUUUCCUAUUUAGCUGUCAGCUGAAGACAGCAUCCAAUCGAAAUGAACAGUUGUAGCGAGUGAGAAUGCUGUCCUGAAACGCCCCGUGCACAUGAUAACAUCAAAAAGGCCACACCAGCUUAGCUUAAAAAUCCUUCUAGUCCAUGUCGUUCCUUCAAGAGUGAUCCACUGUGGCCAAAACUAAGGUGAGCGUGAAACAGAACCAACAUAUGGCAGCAUUUCCUUUGUGUAGCCCCUCACUGUGGAGAUCUGUUGCCCUGACUUCCUCAAUCAGAGGUGUUAUUUUUGUGAUUUUUAUGUGGAAUAUUAAGAAAAUCUUCAGUUAAUGACUUUGAAAUUAUCUAUCUGGAGAGAAAUUUUCUCUUUCCCGUGUUAAUGGUUGGCUUAUGCCUGAAAACAUGAAGUUAAUGGUAAGAGUUGGACGACACUGUUGAUAUUAAGUAUACUCUACAUUCUCACUGUGAAUUUGUCUUAAUUCUUCUGUUUGUAAUACUCUUCUCUCAGAGACCU
Grus americana (Whooping crane) is the source of this 701-nucleotide long non-coding RNA. RefSeq lists it as uncharacterized. The transcript is spliced from 3 exons. The record is from RefSeq and is a predicted model, not a curated record. Lineage: Eukaryota; Metazoa; Chordata; Aves; Gruiformes; Gruidae.